GGCCGGUUAGCUCAGUUGGUUAGAGCGUGGUGCUAAUAACGCCAAGGUUGUGGGUUCGAUCCCCAUACUGGCCA
RNAcentral lists this transfer RNA (74 nucleotides) under Salmo salar (Atlantic salmon). It matches the Rfam family "tRNA". From Rfam's summary of the family: Transfer RNA (tRNA) molecules are approximately 80 nucleotides in length. Their secondary structure includes four short double-helical elements and three loops (D, anti-codon, and T loops). Lineage: Eukaryota; Metazoa; Chordata; Actinopteri; Salmoniformes; Salmonidae. The record is from Rfam by way of RNAcentral.